RNAcentral lists this ribosomal RNA (408 nucleotides) under uncultured bacterium. RNAcentral describes it as "bacterial SSU rRNA". It matches the Rfam family "Bacterial small subunit ribosomal RNA", at positions 29 to 476 of the family's 1533-position model. The record is from RNAcentral.
AACGAACGCUGGCGGCAGGCUUAACACAUGCAAGUCGAACGAUGUAGCAAUACAUAGUGGCGCACGGGUGAGUAACGCGUGGGAAUAUACCUUAUAGUGGGAAUAACUUUGGGAAACUAAAGCUAAUACCGCAUACGCCCGAGAGGGAAGAUUUAUCGCUAUAAGAUUAGCCCGCGUGAGAUUAGGUAGUUGGUGGGGUAAUGGCCUACCAAGCCUACGAUCUCUAGCUGGUCUGAGAGGAUGAUCAGCCACACUGGAACUGAGACACGGUCCAGACUCCUACGGGAGGCAGCAGUGGGGGAAUAUUGGGCAAUGGACGAAAGUACUGACCCAGCCAUGCCGCGUGAAUGAUGAAGGCCUUAGGGUUGGUAAAGUUACUUUCGUCCGACUGAAGAAGUAAUAGACGGU